ACCGUCCCAGGUGCUCGGGAGGCUGAGACGGAAGGAUUGCUUGCGCCCAGGAGUUCCAGGUUGUAGCGCGCUUUGCCAGUUGGGUGUCUGCACUAAAUUUGUCAUCAAUAUGGUGACCUCCUGGAAGCAGGGGACCAUCUGGUUGCCUACAGAGGGGUGAAAUGACCCAGGUCGGAAACGGAGCCGUCAAAACUCCAGUGCUGAUCAGUAGUGAAAUCGUGUAUGUGAAGAACCACUGCACUCCAGCCUUGGUAACAUACCAAGACUCUGUCUCU
This 275-nucleotide signal recognition particle RNA is filed under the name Carlito syrichta (Philippine tarsier). RNAcentral describes it as "Metazoan signal recognition particle RNA (ENSTSYG00000036396.1)". It matches the Rfam family "Metazoan signal recognition particle RNA". From Rfam's summary of the family: The signal recognition particle (SRP) is a universally conserved ribonucleoprotein. It is involved in the co-translational targeting of proteins to membranes. The eukaryotic SRP consists of a 300-nucleotide 7S RNA and six proteins: SRPs 72, 68, 54, 19, 14, and 9. The record is from RNAcentral. Lineage: Eukaryota; Metazoa; Chordata; Mammalia; Primates; Tarsiidae.